UACGGGGGGGGCAAGCGUUGUUCGGAAUUACUGGGCGUAAAGGGCUCGUAGGCGGCCAACUAAGUCAGACGUGAAAUCCCUCAGCUUAACUGGGGAACUGCGUCUGAUACUGGAUGGCUUGGAUUUGGGAGAGGGAUGCGGAAUUCCAGGUGUAGCGGUGAAAUGCGUAGAUAUCUGGAGGAACACCGGUGGCGAAGGCGGCAUCCUGGACCAAUUCUGACGCUGAGGAGCGAAAGCCAGGGGAGCAAACGGG
This 253-nucleotide ribosomal RNA is filed under the name uncultured bacterium. Its description in RNAcentral is "partial 16S ribosomal RNA". It matches the Rfam family "Bacterial small subunit ribosomal RNA", at positions 524 to 776 of the family's 1533-position model. The record is from RNAcentral.